RNAcentral lists this ribosomal RNA (890 nucleotides) under uncultured bacterium. RNAcentral describes it as "bacterial SSU rRNA". It matches the Rfam family "Bacterial small subunit ribosomal RNA", at positions 60 to 914 of the family's 1533-position model. The record is from RNAcentral.
AGUCGAGCGAGCAAUUUUAACGGAAUACCUUCGGGUAGGAAGAUAAAAGCGCGAGCGGCGGAUGGGUGAGUAACACGUGGGCAACCUGCCCUUUAGCUUGGGAUACCACUUGGAAACAGGUGCUAAUACCAAAUAAGAAGCAAGAGCGCAUGCUCAAGCUAUGAAAGGCGGCUUUCGAGCUGUCACUAAAGGAUGGGCCCGCGGUGCAUUAGCUAGUUGGUAAGGUAACGGCUUACCAAGGCAAUGAUGCAUAGCCGAGUUGAGAGACUGAUCGGCCACAUUGGGACUGAGACACGGCCCAAACUCCUACGGGAGGCAGCAGUAGGGAAUCUUCCACAAUGGACACAAGUCUGAUGGAGCAACGCCGCGUGAGUGAAGAAGGUUUUCGGAUCGUAAAGCUCUGUUGUUGGUGAAGAAGGAUAAGGAUAGUAACUGAUUCUUAUUUGACGGUAAUCAACCAGAAAGUCACGGCUAACUACGUGCCAGCAGCCGCGGUAAUACGUAGGUGGCAAGCGUUGUCCGGAUUUAUUGGGCGUAAAGCGAACGCAGGCGGGAGAACAAGUCAGCUGUGAAAGCCCUCGGCUUAACCGGGGAAGUGCAGCUGAAACUGUUUUUCUUGAGUGCAGAAGAGGAGAGUGGAACUCCAUGUGUAGCGGUGGAAUGCGUAGAUAUAUGGAAGAACACCAGUGGCGAAGGCGGCUCUCUGGUCUGUAACUGACGCUGAGGUUCGAAAGCAUGGGUAGCGAACAGGAUUAGAUACCCUGGUAGUCCAUGCCGUAAACGAUGAGUGCUAAGUGUUGGGGGGUUUCCGCCUCUCAGUGCUGCAGCUAACGCAUUAAGCACUCCGCCUGGGGAGUACGACCGCAAGGUUAAAACUCAAAGGAAUUGAC